CCUACGGGAGGCAGCAGUGGGGAAUAUUGCACAAUGGGGGAAACCCUGAUGCAGCGACGCCGCGUGAGUGAAGAAGUAAUUCGUUACGUAAAGCUCUAUCAGCAGGGAAGAACUACUGACCUUACGGUCAGCAGACGGUACCUGAGUAAGAAGCCCCGGCUAAUUACGUGCCAGCAGCCGCGGUAAUACGUAGGGGGCAAGCGUUAUCCGGAUUUACUGGGUGUAAAGGGAGAGUAGACGGUGCGCCAAGUCUGGAGUGAAAUGCCGCAGCUUAACUGCGGAACUGCUUUGGAAACUGGCGAACUAGAGUGCGGUAGGGGUAAGCGGAAUUCCAUGUGUAGCGGUGAAAUGCGUAGAUAUUAGGAGGAACACCGGUGGCGAAGGCGGCUUACUGGACCGUAACUGACGUUGAGGCUCGAAAGCGUGGGGAGCAAACAGGAUUAGAUACCCGUGUAGUC
This 458-nucleotide ribosomal RNA is filed under the name uncultured bacterium. Its description in RNAcentral is "partial 16S ribosomal RNA". It matches the Rfam family "Bacterial small subunit ribosomal RNA", at positions 338 to 795 of the family's 1533-position model. The record is from RNAcentral.